CUGAAGGCAGCCAGAAGACUAACUCUUCAGGCAGCUAGGAGGCAGCUUUCUCAAAGCCCACCCCCACAGUGGCACACGUCCCUCGGCGAGGCUACACCUACUCUGAAAAGGCCACACUCAUUAAUAGUGCCACCCUCUGGCCCAUGCGUAUUGAAACUACCACAAGUGGUAAUGCUAAUAUAGCUAGAAACUUUUAUCUUUUUGUAAAAAUUCAUGUAAGCUUCAGGGAGUCAUAAGACCUGGAUCUACCUGUCACAGGUCAAAUGGACUCCAGAUAAGUGCAGCCUCAGUUUCCCCACCUGUCUAGUCCCGAAAGGAUGGAAUCUCUCCCCUGGCCUUGAGACUCCUCCCCUUCGUCAAUUACUAGAACUAUGGGCCUGAAAGUUCCAAAUGUAGAGUUUUCUUUUAAGUCCCUAAGUUUUAACUUUACCCUAGUCUAUAUUGUCUCAGUAGAUUUCCACUUGGCUGAGAGAAAUCAUUCAGGGAUCACCUGUGGACUGCAAACUGCUGCGCUCUGGGCUUGGCUGAAAGUCUCUGGAAACCAUCUAGCCUAUGUGGUUGGCCCCUGUCUCUUCAGCUGGAUCAGCUAACCAGAUUCUUCUGGAGAAUGCCCCAUUGUCUGAAACCCUUCCCAGCCUUUCACUAGCUUCCAGCCUUCCCGAGUCCUGAAAACUAUGCCCUAGUUUCAGCUGGAAGUAGUUACAAAGGAGAGAAUGCCUUGCACACCCUCCCCCACCCCCACACUCCAGCAGGCUGAAAUGCUAAGUCAAAGGGAAACGCCCUGGCAGAGGGGACAAAAUGGCCCACAGUGUAAAUCGACACACCAGGAAAGCGGGCCCAGACUUAUCAACUGGUAGAUUCACUGACUGAAACAGUUCUACACUAGGAUUCGGCACUUGGCCUGGUUUAUGCAGAAUGAAGAGGUGGUAUGUGGCUUUAAGAGAAAAUUGUUAUUUCUGUACGAGCCUGUAGUAGGUUGUACAGGGUUAUUCCUGAUUGGUUGAAUAAAGAUGCCUACAGCCUAUAGCUGGGCAGAAUUGAGAUAGGCGGGGUUUAGGGUUUUUGGGGGCUUGGGGUCUGGGGAUAACCACAAGGAGGAGAGAGAGGGUUGGAGAGAGGAGAAGAUACCAUGGGUAAGAAUCUUGAAAUUAGGGCAAUGAAGGCUGGCCAGUUGGAGCUAAGAGCAGCCCAGACGGUGGAACAUGACAAAUCCUGUUGUGGAGUUAUGGCCGGGAAAUAGACAUAAUAGAUGGAAGAUAGAUAACUAGUGCUGACUAAGGCCUACGGAGGUUGUAUGAGUCUUUUAUCUGGGAACUGAAUGGCUGAGGCAGGGUAGAAACCCCAGAUUGAGACUAAAUAUUUUCUACAACACAAUCCAUUUGGGAUUUUAAUCUUGUACACUAAAAUUACAUAAGAGACUUGAGAUGACUGGUGCCACAUUUAUUUCCAGGCUCCUUCUGGGUAGUAACUCUGAUGUCAGCCAUCAUAGAUUCCUUGGUCAUUCUGCCCCUGCUGGUUACUGUUGGCUCUCACAUCACUGAUAUAAUAACCAAAUGGUAGUUCAUGUCUGGACACCAUGAAAAUGAUGGUUAUUAGAUUCCAUAUGAAUAAGUACUUAUCAUACAGUCAAGGAUUUGACCCAGGAUACAAUUUAAGGAGGGAAUUUAAGACCUAAAGUUAACCUGUGAGCUGCACUGGCCCAAGGACCAAAUAACUCCCUGGAAUGCUGGGAGAUGUAGUUCUUGAAAAACAAAGCCACAUGGGAAAAUACAAUGGCCAUAUGAUUUUGCCCUAAAAUGCCAUACAGCAUUGUCUCCACUUAGCUGGGAAUUCUAGAGGGUGGUCUUGACCAAAGUCCACCCUAAUAACUAUUUAAUUAAAGCUUACUUCGAAUUUGGUUCAAAAUUAUGGUUUUUCUCUUGUGAAUCUCAAGAUUAACACAAUUUUCUACAAAGAUAAGGUCUCUUUCCCUAAACAGUGUGCAUAUCCCUCUGGUUUAGAUCUUUGGUGAACUGUACCUUUUGGACUUGAGUAGAGGGCUCUGGAAAUCCUCUCCUUUCCUACGCAGCAAGGAUGACUUUGAACUCUUGAUUAUCAUGCCUUCUUGGCCAAAAGCUGAGAUUAUAAACUCUCGCCACCAACCUAACCUUUUGCUUUUCUUUUCUUUUUCCACAGGAUCUUGCUAUACACUCUUGGCUGGCCUACACUCCUCCUUCCCUUGCCUCUGAAGCAAUGUGAUUAUUGUUCUGUGACUGUGGCCAUCAAUACGUUCAUUUAAUUAAUGUUUUUCCCAUUGCAGUUCACCAUAACCCUUCAGGAAUCAAGCCAUUGAAACCCAGAUGCGGAAUGACUUGUCUCAGGGCACAAACCUGUGUUCGAGCAAUCCCUGAGACUUCCAGUAUGUCCCUUUAAGAGGAAGGUUUGUCCUUGGCAACUGGUACUCAGAUAGGGCUCUGGGGAAGCCCUAGGGGAAAAAAAAGGAACAAGACUGGGGGAGGGGAAGACUGGCCAGUGGGUGACUUUGAUAACCAGAGCAAGGCAGGACUAUAGGCCAAGGAUCUGUAACUUCAGCUUGACGAGAUGGGAUCUUUUGGGUCAAGAUACAAGACUUAGGGUCCACGAAGCUGGUGGCUCUACUCAGCACAGGACUGGCCUGUGCAUGACUCUGGUUUAAGGAAAGCCACAGCCAAUGGCUGUGGAAGGCUUAUCUUAGUAACCUGAAGUUUACCGAGCAUGCAAUCUGUGCCAAGCACUGUGUACCCUACAAGGUGGGUAGCCUGGGCGGUUGGUUAUCUGAGUAGGGAUCUCCAAAACUCCUGCCUAGUGUGUUCUUAGGAAGCAGGUGUGUCAGGCAAAACCAUAUGUACUCUGCCUCGUAGAAACCAGCACACUGGAAAGACUCCACACCUCAGCGAUGACAUCUGAGAAUAUGGCCCAGAUUCAAAGGCGGCUUUGCCACCUACCACCUGGAUGUUUCUCUGCCUUUGUUUCCUCUUGUGUAAUGGGUCCAAUCCCCACCCUUGGGCUGUUGGGAAAGAAUUGCCACAGGUCUGGCCUGCUGGAUUUUGCAUACAGCCAGCUAGGCUGCACAGCUGGGAAUACCAGGGAAGUCUCCAGAAAGUUGACCAGCAACCACAGUGCUUGUUCAGCGCCAGAGAUAAAACUAGAGGCAAACACUUGCUGCUUCAUGAGGUCAGAUGCCCCUCACAGGAGCACUGUCCCUGGAGUCCAGCUGUGGCUUGUUGACUGUCGCACUCCCUCACAGGAGGGUUGGGAAGGGGCCACUGGACACUCUGCAGAGCACUCACUCUUCCCGGCUGAGUGGAAUUCUGCUCUCAUUGUGACCUUGGGGUCUUGGGAGUAUGUAGGCUUUGAAGGACUAAAAGCGGGGGCUCCCCAUCUAUGCCGUGAUGGGAAAGCCAGCGAGCAUGCUGGGGGUGUGUGUGGCUGCUUAGGGCCAUUACACUGCUCUCUGUAACACCCAUGGCUCUAUGAACAGCCUGAUAAUAAACUCAAUCUCCAGGGUGA
This 3528-nucleotide small RNA is filed under the name Rattus norvegicus (Norway rat). RNAcentral's name for it is "uncharacterized LOC103692950". Lineage: Eukaryota; Metazoa; Chordata; Mammalia; Rodentia; Muridae. The record is from RNAcentral.